This 345-nucleotide unclassified non-coding RNA is filed under the name soil metagenome. RNAcentral's name for it is "partial contains 5.8S ribosomal RNA, internal transcribed spacer 2, and large subunit ribosomal RNA". The stretch from base 1 to 120 matches the Rfam family "5.8S ribosomal RNA", at positions 35 to 154 of the family's 154-position model. The record is from RNAcentral.
GAUGAAGAACGCAGCGAAAUGCGAUACGUAAUGUGAAUUGCAGAAUUCAGUGAAUCAUCGAGUCUUUGAACGCACAUUGCGCCCCCUGGUAUUCCGGGGGGCAUGCCUGUCCGAGCGUCAUUGCUGCCCUCAAGCACGGCUUGUGUGUUGGGCCUCCGUCCUCCUCCCGGGGGACGGGCCCGAAAGGCAGCGGCGGCACCGCGUCCGGUCCUCGAGCGUAUGGGGCUUCGUCACCCGCUCGUGUAGGCCCGGCCGGCGCUUGCCGACACAUCAAUCUUUUUUCCAGGUUGACCUCGGAUCAGGUAGGGAUACCCGCUGAACUUAAGCAUAUCAAUAAGCGGAGGA